Molecule: ribosomal RNA, 465 nt
Filed under: uncultured bacterium
Lineage: Bacteria
Description: partial 16S ribosomal RNA
Rfam family: Bacterial small subunit ribosomal RNA
Source: RNAcentral
GACGAACGCUGGCGGCGUGCUUAACACAUGCAAGUCGAACGGAAAGGCCCUGCUUGCAGGGUACUCGAGUGGCGAACGGGUGAGUAACACGUGGGUGAUCUGCCCUGCACUUCGGGAUAAGCCUGGGAAACUGGGUCUAAUACCGGAUAGGAGCCAUUUUUAGUGUGAUGGUUGGAAAGUUUUUUCGGUGUAGGAUGAGCUGGCGGCCUAUCAGCUUGUUGGUGGGGUAAUGGCCUACCAAGGCGGCGACGGGUAGCCGGCCUGUGAGGGUGGACGGCCACAUUGGGACUGAGAGGAGGCCCAGACUCCGACGGGAGGCAGCAGUGGGGAAUAUUGAACAAUGGGCGCAAGCCUGAUGCAGCGAGGCCGCGUGGGGGAUGACGGCCUUCGGGUUGUAAACUCCUUUCGCUAGGGACGAAGCUUUUUGUGACGGUACCUAGAUAAGAAGCACCGGCUAACUACGUG